This 69-nucleotide transfer RNA is filed under the name Lucifotychus sp. 1 EF-2015. Its description in RNAcentral is "tRNA-Lys". The record is from RNAcentral. Lineage: Eukaryota; Metazoa; Arthropoda; Insecta; Coleoptera; Staphylinidae.
CAUUAAGUGACUGAAAGUAAGUAAUGGUCUCUUAAACCAUAAAUAAUAUUCUAACAACUAUUCUUAAUG